This 885-nucleotide ribosomal RNA is filed under the name uncultured archaeon. Its description in RNAcentral is "bacterial SSU rRNA". It matches the Rfam family "Archaeal small subunit ribosomal RNA", at positions 1 to 865 of the family's 1478-position model. The record is from RNAcentral.
UCCGGUUGAUCCUGCCGGACCCCACUGCUAUCGGGAUGGGACUAAGACAUGCUAGUUGAGCGUUUCCAGCCAAUAGGAGACGCAGCGCACAGCUCAGUAACACGUGGCUAAUCUGCCCUUGGGACCGGAACACCCCCGGGAAACUGGGGCUAAUUCUCGAUAGGUGAAGAACUCUGGAAUGAGUCUUUGCCAAAAAGAUGCUAGAGUUAUGCUCUUUGGCAUCGCCCAAGGAUGAGGCCGCGACCGAUCAGGUUGUUGGUGAGGUAAUGGCUCACCAAGCCUUUUGCCGGUGCGGGCCGUGAGAGCGGGAGCCCGGAGAUGGGCACUGAGACAAGGGCCCAGGCCCUACGGGGCGCAGCAGUCGCGAAAACUUUGCAAUACACGAAAGUGUGACAGGGCUAUCCCGAGUGCCAUCCGCUGAGGAAGGCUUUUACCCAGUCUAGAACGCUGGGGGAAUAAGGAGAGGGCAAGUCUGGUGUCAGCCGCCGCGGUAAUACCAGCUCUCCGAGUGGUGUGGAUGUUUAUUGGGCCUAAAGCAUCCGUAGCUGGCUAAGUUAGUCCCUUGUUAAAUCCACCGAAUUAAUCGUUGGAUUGCAGGGGGAUACUGCUUGGCUAGGGGACGAGAGAGGCAGACGGUAUUUCCGGGGUAGGGGUGAAAUCCUAUAAUCCCGGGAAGACCACCAGUGGCGAAGGCUGUCUGCUAGAACGCGCCCGACGGUGAGGGAUGAAAGCUGGGGGAGCGAACCGGAUUAGAUACCCGGGUAGUCCCAGCUGUAAACGAUGCAGGCUAGUGUUUGGACGGCCACGUGCCGUUCUAGUGCCGCAGGGAAGCUGUUAAGCCUGCCGCCUGGGGAGUACGAUCGCAAGAUUGAAACUUAAAGGAAU